AUCGAACGCUGGCGGCAUGCCUUACACAGGCAAGUCGAACGGCAGCACGGGUGCUUGCACCUGGUGGCGAGUGGCGAACGGGUGAGUAAUACAUCGGAACGUACCUUAUCGUGGGGGAUAACGCAGCGAAAGCUGUGCUAAUACCGCAUACGCCCUGAGGGGGACAGCGGGGGAUCGAAAGACCUCGCGCGAUUAGAGCGGCCGAUGCCUGAUUAGCUUGUUGGUGGGGUAAAGGCCCACCAAGGAGACGAUCAGUAGCUAGUCUGAGAGGACGAGCAGCCACACUGGGACUGAGACACGGCCCCGUCUCCUACGGGAGGCAGCUGUUGUGAAUUUUUGACUAUGGGGGCAACCCUGAUCCAGCAAUGCCGCGUGAGUGAAGAAGGCCUUCGGGUUGUAAAGCUCUUUUGUCAGGGAAGAAACACCGGCUCUAACACAGUCCGGGAAUGACGGUACCUGAAGAAUAAGCACCGGCGAACUACGUGCCAGCCGCCGCCGUAA
This 501-nucleotide ribosomal RNA is filed under the name uncultured bacterium. RNAcentral's name for it is "partial 16S ribosomal RNA". It matches the Rfam family "Bacterial small subunit ribosomal RNA", at positions 30 to 523 of the family's 1533-position model. The record is from RNAcentral.